RNAcentral lists this ribosomal RNA (478 nucleotides) under uncultured bacterium. Its description in RNAcentral is "partial 16S ribosomal RNA". It matches the Rfam family "Bacterial small subunit ribosomal RNA", at positions 28 to 523 of the family's 1533-position model. The record is from RNAcentral.
GACGAACGCUGGCGGCGUGCUUAACACAUGCAAGUCGAACGGUAAGGCCCUUCGGGGUACACGAGUGGCGAACGGGUGAGUAACACGUGGGUGAUCUGCCCUGCACUUCGGGAUAAGCCUGGGAAACUGGGUCUAAUACCGGAUAGGACCACUGCCUGCAUGGGUGGUGGUGGAAAGCUUUUGCGGUGUGGGAUGGGCCCGCGGCCUAUCAGCUUGUUGGUGGGGUGCUGGCCUAACAAGGCGACGACGGGUAGCCGGCCUGAGAGGGUGACCGGCCACACUUGGACUGAGAUACGGCCCAGACUCCUACGGGAGGCAGCAGUGGGGAAUAUUGCACAAUGGGCGCAAGCCUGAUGCAGCGACGCCGCGUGAGGGAUGACGGCCUUCGGGUUGUAAACCUCUUUCAGCACCGACGAAGCGCAAGUGACGGUAGGUGCAGAAGAAGGACCGGCCAACUACGUGCCAGCAGCCGCGGUAA